RNAcentral lists this long non-coding RNA (941 nucleotides) under Mus musculus (house mouse). Its description in RNAcentral is "long non-coding RNA chr2:90888126-90889067". The record is from RNAcentral. Lineage: Eukaryota; Metazoa; Chordata; Mammalia; Rodentia; Muridae.
CCCUGUGGUGCUGGGAAAUCAAACUUGGGUCCUCUGGAUGGCAGCUAAACUCUUUAACUGCUAAGCCAUCUCUCCAGCCCCUCCUUACCUCAUUCUGUUUCACAGGGAAAGCACUAACUUAAAGCUUGGCUGGACCUCUGCGGUUCAGGAAGGACCCCAGGGGAGUCCAGAGAUCCUGGUGGACCCUUCAGUGGAGCAGAGGUCAGGAAAGUGGUUAGAGAGCAGCUAUCUCCUCCGUUCAUCCCCAGAUAAGACUAAAAACACUGUCAUGGUGGAAAUGGACAUAAGAGCCAGUGUCUUCUGUGAAGGGCAGGCCAAGGAGCAGAGAAAAGCCCCAGGAAAGUGCAGAGGGAGUGCUGGCUGUUAGAAACUGAGAUCUCCUCAACACCCAGAGAGGGAAGAGGGCUGAGGAGAGAGGACAGGGCUGUUGGCCUCAUUAACCAGGACAUUUCUUUCUUUUCUUUCUUUCUUUUUUCGAGACAGGGUUCCUCUGUAUAUCCUUGGCUGUCCUGGAACUCACUUUGUAGACCAGGCUGGCCUCAAACUCAAAAAUCUGCCUGCCUCUGCCUUCCAAGUGCUGGGAUUAAAGGUGUGUGCCACCACACCCAGCUUCUUCUUCUCCUCCUCCUCCUUUUUUUUUUUUUUAAGAUUUAUUUAUUUGUUAUAUGUAAUUACACUGUAGCUGUCUUCCAAUAGCCCCAGAAGAGGAAGUCAGAUAUCAAUAUGGAUGGUUGUGAGCCACCAUGUGGUUGCUGGGAUUUGAACUCAGGGCCUUUGGAAGGGCAGUCAGUGCUCUUACCCGCUGAGCCAUCUCUCCAGCCCUAACCAAGACAUUUCAACAUAUCUGUGGCACAUGCGUCAGGUCUUAUUUGCAAAAGGAUUCUCUCAUACUUAAAGACACAAGUUUGGAGAAUUACUGGGCUAAUCCAGUUCUUUAAAAC